AGUGAACGCUGGCGGUAGGCCUAACACAUGCCAGUCGAACGGCAGCACAGUAAGAGCUUGCUCUUACGGGUGGCGAGUGGCGGACGGGUGAGGAAUACAUCGGAAUCUACUUUUUCGUGGGGGAUAACGUAGGGAAACUUACGCUAAUACCGCAUACGACCUACGGGUGAAAGCAUGGGAUCUUCGGACCUUGCGCGAUUGAAUGAGCCGAUGUCGGAUUAGCUAGUUGGCGGGGUAAAGGCCCACCAAGGCGACGAUCCGUAGCUGGUCUGAGAGGAUGAUCAGCCACACUGGAACUGAGACACGGUCCAGACUCCUACGGGAGGCAGCAGUGGGGAAUAUUGGACAAUGGGCGCAAGCCUGACCCAGCCAUACCGCGUGGGUGAAGAAGGCCUUCGGGUUGUAAAGCCCUGUUGUUGGGAAAGAAAAGCAGCAGGUUAAUACCCCGCUGUUCUGACGGUACCCAAAGAAUAAGCACCGGCUAACUUCGUG
This 492-nucleotide ribosomal RNA is filed under the name uncultured bacterium. RNAcentral describes it as "partial 16S ribosomal RNA". It matches the Rfam family "Bacterial small subunit ribosomal RNA", at positions 29 to 507 of the family's 1533-position model. The record is from RNAcentral.